AACGCUAGCUACAGGCUUAACACAUGCAAGUCGAGGGGCAGCAUGGUCUUAGCUUGCUAAGGCUGAUGGCGACCGGCGCACGGGUGAGUAACACGUAUCCAACCUGCCGUCUACUCUUGGCCAGCCUUCUGAAAGGAAGAUUAAUCCAGGAUGGCAUCAUGAGUUCACAUGUCCGCAUGAUUAAAGGUAUUUUCCGGUAGACGAUGGGGAUGCGUUCCAUUAGAUAGUAGGCGGGGUAACGGCCCACCUAGUCAACGAUGGAUAGGGGUUCUGAGAGGAAGGUCCCCCACAUUGGAACUGAGACACGGUCCAAACUCCUACGGGAGGCAGCAGUGAGGAAUAUUGGUCAAUGGGCGAUGGCCUGAACCAGCCAAGUAGCGUGAAGGAUGACUGCCCUAUGGGUUGUAAACUUCUUUUAUAAAGGAAUAAAGUCGGGUAUGCAUACCCGUUUGCAUGUACUUUAUGAAUAAGGAUCGGCUAACUCCGUGCCAGCAGCCGCGGUAAUACGGAGGAUCCGAGCGUUAUCCGGAUUUAUUGGGUUUAAAGGGAGCGUAGAUGGAUGUUUAAGUCAGUUGUGAAAGUUUGCGGCUCAACCGUAAAAUUGCAGUUGAUACUGGAUGUCUUGAGUGCAGUUGAGGCAGGCGGAAUUCGUGGUGUAGCGGUGAAAUGCUUAGAUAUCACGAAGAACUCCGAUUG
Molecule: ribosomal RNA, 696 nt
Filed under: uncultured bacterium
Lineage: Bacteria
Description: bacterial SSU rRNA
Rfam family: Bacterial small subunit ribosomal RNA
Source: RNAcentral